GGAGGGGACGGCGAGCGGGCACCAGGGCCCAGGCUGCAGCGGCCACUCCUGGGAGGGCAGCGGCCGUUCCCGCGGGCAGCCCCUGCCAUGCACACGGGAAGUUUUUCAUUUCUGGGCAACUUCUGUUCGCCAGCGGGACGACGCCUCCUCGUCACCUGCCCAGAUUCCCGCUGAGAUGAUGGCCAGAAGCCAACGGCCCUGCACCCCCGUUUCCCUUUUCCAGGGCAUGACAGCGUCUCGUGAGGUGACAGGAAAAUGCAGCCUUCUCCCCGAACCCCGACAGCGUUUCGGUGGUAAAUCCAGGAAGGCCGUGGACGCCUCAGAGGCGGGCGGUGGUCCCAGAGAAGGAAGGACACUUGCACAUGGCGGGCGUCAGCGCAGACACUCGGGGGAAGCAGCAUCACACCGCUGAGCCCGCCGACGUCCCAGGAGCCAGUGCCAGACAGAGCUGGGCCUGGAGUGCCCGGCCCCUCACAGCUGCCUCGUGCAGUCUGCGCCAGGCCCCACACCCAAGCCUGCCUGCAGCGGCAGCCGCACCAGGAACGACCCAGACUCGCCCAUCGCACCGUGCAGCAGCUCCCCCCGCCCCCCCGGCCUUGGAGCUGCGAGCAGAGUCCCCAGGCCACGCGGAGACCUCGGGCCGCAGCACAGACCCUUCACUUCACUGGCAGCCCGAUCACUGGGCUCCAGACCCCGAGAAAGCCGCGCGCCACCGCCAGCAGGCUCCACUGGAAGUGGAAACAUCAUUUUUCCUUCCGUCCAUCGCAGCGCAGUCUGGAGCUGCCUCCGAUAAUUAAUCCACGGAGAGAAAUCAAUACACAACCGGCGGGAGCUGAAACGAGCCACAGCCCAAUAAACUGGCGGCAUCGCAGCCGGCCCCGCUGCAGGUGCAGGGUCUGGGCUCGCGCGCCGCCGCCUGCCCGGCGAGGCGCCUCCGAGGGGCUCACCUUGGGCCACCCUCUGCUAGGAACGCCGUCUGCUGGCUUCCUCCUCUCAGGGACAGUCCCCAACGCCACGGCUGCAGGUGAGACGGCGAAGGAUGUGAGCGACUCGCGAGCGAGAGGGAAGCUGGGGUCCGUCCCGUGGGCCGGCUCUCUGGGUUUGUCUGGCUUGGGUUUGUGCAGGCUUUUUCUUCCUAGCGGCACUUGGCUUCCCAAAGCCCAAGCCGAAGGACGGCGAACACCAG
RNAcentral lists this long non-coding RNA (1186 nucleotides) under Oryctolagus cuniculus (rabbit). RNAcentral's name for it is "lncRNA (ENSOCUG00000031595.1)". The record is from RNAcentral. Lineage: Eukaryota; Metazoa; Chordata; Mammalia; Lagomorpha; Leporidae.